GAUGAACGCUGGCGGCGUGCCUAAUACAUGCAAGUCGAGCGAACGGACGAGAAGCUUGCUUUUCUGAUGUUAGCGGCGGACGGGUGAGUAACACGUGGAUAACCUACCUAUAAGACUGGGAUAACUUCGUGAAACCGGAGCUAAUACCGGAUAAUAUUUUGAACCGCAUGGUUCAAAAGUGAAAGACGGUCUUGCUGUCACUUAUAGAUGUAUCCGCGCUGCAUUAGCUAGUUGGUAAGGUAACGGCUUACCAAGGCAACGAUGCAUAGCCGACCUGAGAGGGUGAUCGGCCACACUGGAACUGAGACACGGUCCAGACUCCUACGGGAGGCAGCAGUAGGGAAUCUUCCGCAAUGGGCGAAAGCCUGAAGGAGCAACGCCGCGUGAGUGAUGAAGGUCUUCGGAUCGUAAAACUCUGUUAUUAGGGAAGAACAUAUGUGUAAGUAACUGUGCACAUCUUGACGGUACCUAAUCAGAAAGCCACGGCUAACUACGUG
This 497-nucleotide ribosomal RNA is filed under the name uncultured bacterium. RNAcentral describes it as "partial 16S ribosomal RNA". It matches the Rfam family "Bacterial small subunit ribosomal RNA", at positions 28 to 507 of the family's 1533-position model. The record is from RNAcentral.